AUACGAAAAUGUAUUUUGUCUGUCUAGUAUAUAGCUGUAAGUAGCAAAGUAAUAGAAAGCAAGUUGCGAAAAAAAACGCUCAGGUCUCUGACGAUAAACUUGAUUGUUUACUUCAAAAAGCAAUAUUAAAGAAAUUUUCCGCUGAAUACGACGUUAAGAUAUAUAUGAUAAAAUAAAUAUAGGUCCAAUAAAAUAGCUAAACAUCCAUUGAGCAGAGUCGUUUGCUUUUUAACACUUGGGUUUUUGAUGCGGAAGCUCAGGGUUUUUGAUGCGGAAGCUCUGGGUUUUUGAUGUGGAAGCUCUGGGUUUUUUGAUGUGGAAACUCUGGGUUUUCGAGCAUGCAACCAUUCAAUACCUUGUUUUUUAAAAGGCUGAUUUAUAUGAUGUAUAGUGCAUAUUUCUGUUAGCUUCAUGCAAAUAUUUUUUCUCAAAUUACUGUGAUUAUUUUCUCUGAUUAUUUUUUCUAAUUGUUGGGAAUUGUAAACCACGGAUGCUAAACUAAUUUCAAAUGACAAACGAAAGAAAAGUCAGGCAAUAACUUGACACAGGCAAUCAAAAAUCCUUUCACUCUCCUUCUCAGGAUUGGUAGUUGGCAUGACUCGGAGAAAAUAAUUUUGGCAGAUGUCAAAUCUUAGGUCUUUACGUUAUCUGGUCACCGAGGUUCUAGCGUACCUAUUUUUUGAAAGACGAUGACCAGAGGACUGUACAUCUAGCGUAGUUGGACGCGUAUUUCCAGGCUUUGAGUGACAAAGAAUGGAUGACCAUAUGGAGCGGACGUCAACAUUGUGAUGUAUAGUUGGACACGUAUUU
Molecule: long non-coding RNA, 810 nt
Organism: Xenia sp. Carnegie-2017
Lineage: Eukaryota; Metazoa; Cnidaria; Anthozoa; Malacalcyonacea; Xeniidae
Exons: 3
Source: RefSeq, a predicted model, not a curated record